GAUGAACGCUGGCGGCGUGCCUAAUACAUGCAAGUCGAGCGAACAGACGAGGAGCUUGCUCCUCUGACGUUAGCGGCGGACGGGUGAGUAACACGUGGAUAACCUACCUAUAAGACUGGGAUAACUUCGGGAAACCGGAGCUAAUACCGGAUAAUAUAUUGAACCGCAUGGUUCAAUAGUGAAAGACGGUUUUGCUGUCACUUAUAGAUGUAUCCGCGCCGCAUUAGCUAGUUGGUAAGGUAACGGCUUACCAAGGCAACGAUGCGUAGCCGACCUGAGAGGGUGAUCGGCCACACUGGAACUGAGACACGGUCCAGACACCUACGGGAGGCAGCAGUAGGGAAUAUUCCGCAAUGGGCGAAAGCAUGACGGAGCAACGCCGCGUGAGUGAUGAAGGUCUUCGGAUCGUAAAACUCUGUUAUUAGGGAAGAACAAAUGUGUAAGUAACUAUGCACGUCUUGACGGUAACUAAUCAGAAAGCAACGGCUAACUACGUG
This 497-nucleotide ribosomal RNA is filed under the name uncultured bacterium. RNAcentral describes it as "partial 16S ribosomal RNA". It matches the Rfam family "Bacterial small subunit ribosomal RNA", at positions 28 to 507 of the family's 1533-position model. The record is from RNAcentral.